RNAcentral lists this ribosomal RNA (275 nucleotides) under Monases sp. SPB-2007. Its description in RNAcentral is "partial 16S ribosomal RNA". Lineage: Eukaryota; Metazoa; Arthropoda; Arachnida; Araneae; Thomisidae. The record is from RNAcentral.
AUAAAUUUCUAUAAUUUAUUAAUUAAAAUUAUUUUUAAUGUAAAAAAACAUUAAUAUAUUAAAUAGACGAUAAGACCCUAUUGAACUUUACUUUAUUUAACUGGGGAAGUUAAUUAAUUAAUAUUUUAAAUUUUUAUAAUUCAUAAAUGACCUAAUAUUAUUAAUUAAUUGAUCAAGUUACCAUAGGGAUAACAGUGUAAUAUUAUUUUAAAGAUCUUAUUUAAAAUUAUGAUUGCAACCUCGAUGUUGACUUAAUAACCUUAUUAACGCAAUAG